This 257-nucleotide long non-coding RNA is filed under the name Mytilus galloprovincialis (Mediterranean mussel). The record is from RNAcentral. Lineage: Eukaryota; Metazoa; Mollusca; Bivalvia; Mytilida; Mytilidae.
UGCACGUGCACAAACAAACAAAAAAUGCUACUGCAAUUAUAUACAGUCAUAUUUGUUUGUAUUCCUCUAUAAUUUUUUUUAUAGUUUAACAUCCCAUAAUUCUUAAUUCCUUAUAUUUAAGCAGCCGUAUAUUUCUCUAUUCGAUAUAUUUUACCAGUCCCUAUUUCACUAUUCUUUAUAUUUAUUUUGGUCAUAUUUCUUUAUUCUUUAUUUUUCUCGCCCAUAUCAUUCUUUAUUUAUUUUUUCGUCCAUUAUUC